UGGGGAGUAUUGGACAAUGGGGGCAACCCUGAUCCAGCAAUGCCGCGUGAGUGAUGAAGGCCUUAGGGUUGUAAAGCUCUUUCGGCGGGGACGAUGAUGACGGUACCCGCAGAAGAAGCCCCGGCUAACUUCGUGCCAGCAGCCGCGGUAAUACGAAGGGGGCAAGCGUUGUUCGGAUUUACUGGGCGUAAAGGGCGCGCAGGCGGUUCGCCAAGUCAGAUGUGAAAGCCCCGGGCUCAACCUGGGAACUGCAUUUGAGACUGGCGAACUAGAGUUCGGGAGAGGAUGGCGGAAUUCCCAGUGUAGAGGUGAAAUUCGUAGAUAUUGGGAAGAACACCGGUGGCGAAGGCGGCCAUCUGGACCGAGACUGACGCUGAGGCGCGAAAGCGUGGGGAGCAAACAGG
This 404-nucleotide ribosomal RNA is filed under the name uncultured bacterium. RNAcentral's name for it is "bacterial SSU rRNA". It matches the Rfam family "Bacterial small subunit ribosomal RNA", at positions 355 to 776 of the family's 1533-position model. The record is from RNAcentral.